RNAcentral lists this ribosomal RNA (649 nucleotides) under uncultured bacterium. RNAcentral's name for it is "bacterial SSU rRNA". It matches the Rfam family "Bacterial small subunit ribosomal RNA", at positions 10 to 691 of the family's 1533-position model. The record is from RNAcentral.
AGUUGAUCCUGGCUCAGGAUGAACGCUGGCGGUGUGCCUUAGGCAUGCAAGUCGAACGAGAUUCACUCUUCGGAGUGAUGACAGUGGCAGACGGGUGAGUAACACGUAGGAAUCUACCCAAGAGUGGGGGAUAGCCUUCCGAAAGGAGGGGUAAUACCGCAUAUGGUCGCAAGAUCAAAGACUUCGGUCGCUAUUGGAGGAGCCUGCGCGCUAUCAGCUUGUUGGUGAGGUAAAGGCUCACCAAGGCAAUGACGGCUAGCCGAUGUGAGAGCAUGAUCGGCCACAAGGUUACUGAGACACGGAGCCUACACCUACGGGUGGCAGCAACCGGGAAUAUUGCGCAAUGGGCGAAAGCCUGACGCAGCGACACCGCGUGUGGGAUGACGCUCUUCGGAGUGUAAACCACUGUGGCAGGGGAUGAAUUUUUGACAGUACCCUGCUAGAAAGCACCUGCUAACCACGUGCCAGAAGCCUCGGUAAUACGUGGGGUGCAAGCGUUAUCCGGAUUUACUGGGCGUAAAGCGUACCGUCGGUGGCUUUUUAAGUUUCUUGUUUAAUCCCAGGGCUCAACUCUGGAGCAGCAAGAAAAACUGAAUAGCUUGAGUUUGUUUGGGGCAGCUGGAAUUCUCAAUGGAGGGGUGAAAUCCGU